Armigeres subalbatus is the source of this 522-nucleotide long non-coding RNA. RefSeq lists it as uncharacterized. The transcript has 3 exons. The record is from RefSeq and is a predicted model, not a curated record. Lineage: Eukaryota; Metazoa; Arthropoda; Insecta; Diptera; Culicidae.
AAAGCGGUCACUUUUGAUCCGUGCCGUAGUGUGUUUUUUAAGUAGAUCAUAAGUUAGUAAAGCUCAGUAUCGUCUAUCUUGUGAGAAAAUUGUGCAAGUGCAGAUCCGUGUUAGAAGAGGUCCGUGGCAGCAUUGGUGAAGCCGACACACUACCCCCUAUUACUACGACCGUUUUUGACCCCACGCAACGGCUACAAAGGUUCCCGGGGUACACUUGGCCGGAGAAGGUUGCGAACCGUCUAUUGCGCACCUUUGGCAGGCGAAGCCAACCACCGCAAAUCACCGUAAUCAACCACCGAAAACACCAUCAAUUUUUCAUCGUUUCAUCGUCCUCCUACGGCAUAGCAGCAAAUCGCCGUUGUCGUCGUCAUCGUCAAGCAAAGUACCGACGGCGCAUCAACUUUUCGUUUGCGCGCCAGGAGGACCAUCGGCGCUUGUACCGCGCCCACGCGUAAGCCCGCGCACCGUAUGAGGGAGUGAGAGACCAGCAACAUCGACGCAAUUAGCCGUCCGUCGGCGUGA